UCUAUCUCAGUCCCAAAAUCCUCCACCCUCAAAUUCUUCGUCUUCCUGGCUUACAUCAUUAAACAUGGAACACGCAGGUUCCAUUUUGUUAGUCAAGGGGAUGUUCUCCGUGAUUUUGAUCUUUGUUUUAGUUAUCAGAUCAAUCAGAAUUGCAUAAAUUAGUCUCACAUCAACCGGGAUUGCAAAACUCAAAUUACAGGGUACCAGACUGUCCAGACUAACGAAGGUCAGAGAUGUCACUCAAGUUCACCUCCACAAUCAUUAUUAUUGGAUCUCCUAAGAAGAAGUAAACAUAAGCCUAAACCCUUGAAAAUGAACUUGACCUCUAUAUAUUUCCUUCUCAAUUUUGAUCUUAAGGGUUUCUUCUCAUUUUUUUCAAUAUGAAACUUAGAUUGUGCCAGUUGAGUCUUUGAUUAUAAUUGUUACCACUUGAAUUUUAAUUGGCACCAAGGUGUUACAUUGUCCUACACUAACUAUUUGAAUAAGAACAUCAGUUGGGGAUUAUUAUUGAAAUUAUGGGUCGGUAUCAUUGCAGAAAAUCGACGGCAUGAGCCAUUUCAAUCUGCUCUUUUGAUUAUCAUUCAAAUCUAUUUCUUAUGGACUUUGGUUUUUUAUUCAUAUUUUGGUGAUGGAUUUCACUGAUGUCUCAAAUUCAUUGGAAGCAUUCGUAAAAGUCAAACAGUUGCAGAUUUACCAUCAAUGUGUUUUUUUGGGAGACACAUAGAACUAUCUAGGUUUUAAUUUGCAGUUCAUAAUUUCGGGAUCGAAGCAGCAACAAGGGUUGUUAGAGUUCUAAGCAGCAUGGGUUUUCAUAUAAGUAGUUGGACCAGAUGCAGUUGAUUCAAAGGAAAGAAUGGAAACAAAGAUAUACACUCAUCUUAGGGUUAAGCAACCAUCAGUUCUAUCCUUUUUCUGCUUCUUCAGAGAUUACGUCGCAUUGUUCAGUCGUAAUUUGUGCCUUAUGGUAACAAAGGCGACCAUUUUACCACUUUCAGGAAAGACGUCAUGUUGCCCUUAACCGGGUUCAUGUCUAAUAAUCCUCAACAAAGUAAUCGGUAACUCCUUUUGUAGUUACUGUGAGUAAAGAUGUGUCCAGGUUUACUACACCAAUUCUUAUUAUAUUCUCUAGCAUGUUGAUCAGUAAAGUACUCUUUAUAUUAUUUUUUUUGUCUUUGCAGUAUGUUGAUUAAUGUCCUCCUAAAUUUCAACCUUAAAUUCUUGCAUUGCCUGUGAGCUAUUACGCAAACUAUGGCUUGACCCAGCAAAUGUGAAUGCCAAAGAGGUGAUAUGCCCAUUGGGGUGUCUUCUUGGUGCUACAGGUACCAAAUUCGUGCUUUGUUUAUCUAUAAAAUGUGUUUGGUUAGUAAAUUGUGGUGUAGUGAUAUUGAGAACCACGGUGUUAUUUAUUAUGCAUAUAUACUGGCACAUGAAUGAGAUUUGCUGUACACUCGCGGGAGGUAUUGUGUCAAUGACCUGGGCCACGCACGUCGAAUCUAUGCUCAUAAUUUCCUGUUCAGGGAUUCUCGAUAAAAUGUUAUAGAUAACGAGAUCAAGGUGAUCAUAGCCAGAGAGUAGUUGGUAUGACCGUUUGAUAAGUAUAUGGUGUUUCUAUUCAUAAUACACAGAUUUUUUUUUUUUGGCUCGGUGUUCAUAAUACAUGGCAAUAAGAUAGUGAAAGAGUUAUCUAUGCGCUUUAGGUCGAGAAUGGAACUUUGAACAUGAUAUAGACACUCAUUUGGCCAUUUGGGUAGGUCGAGAAUUCAAUUCUUCUUAUAUUCUCUAGCAUGUUGAUCAGCAAAGUACUCUAUAUUAUUUUUUUCCCUUUGCAGUAUGUUGAUUAAUGUCCUCCUAAAUUUCAACCUUAAAUUCUUGCAUUGCAUUUGUUCAGCCAUUACAGUAAGAAGCAACCAUUUCAUGCGUAGAACUCAUUGGAUCCACAAACUUUAUUAUAUGUUAAUUUGUGAAUGGUUUAGAAUGAUUGGGCGACUGAUGGGUGCCUAACACCUUCCCAUAUCGUACUAGAAUUUCCAUACCCCGAACUCUCUGAUAGCAGACCUUGAACAUGUAAGUCAUAACUAGAUUUUGUUUUCCCAAAAGAAUUCGAACUAGUAAAAAAGGGUCCUGAUUCCCCUUAGUCAGGUGGCGACUUUAAAAUAUCUCUCUUUUCUUUGGAGAGUUAAUUCUUAUUAAGAAACUAGUAAGAAGUUAUCUCUGUACGAACUUGGGCGAUAAACAUCCAAGAACGGAUGAGCACAUAGACUUCACCCCCAUAAUAAUUAGGGUCGGAACAGCCUGACUCUUGACCCGUGCUACUACUCGAUUUCUACAGUGGCCACUAUGUUGAGGACCUAAGAGAUUCAACUUGAAAAAUGAUUAAUGUGAAAAUUUUGUAAUCUUUUUGUUUAUUAUGUACUAAUGUUCACUUAUCUAAGAUUUUGUGAUUGAAGGUACUUGUCUAAGCAUAAGCAACCAUAACGCAAAGGGAACUUACACUCGUCCACAGGAAAAUAUCAGUCUUAUGCUUAGAAGCAUGAUACAAGAGAAAUGAUAUGGGGAACCAUUAAGGAUUUCCAUAUCCUUUAAAUCAAGCCCACAAACACUACCCAACCACCCAUAUUUCACUACCCAAUUUCCAUAUCAUUUUAAUCAAACCCACAAACACUAUCCAAUCACCCAUAUUUCAUUACCCAAUUACCCAUUUCCAAAAAUCUCUUCAACAUUACCGACAUUCUCUUUUCUCAUCAAUUAAAAGAAUUCCCUCCUUCUCCCCCACACCAUAAAAUCGUGACACUUUAAUAUUUUUAAUAUAUCCCCAUUUAACCCAUUACCAAAAAAAGCAAAAAAUUAUCCUUCUCAAAUCCCACUAAAAACUACUCUUUUACAAAAAAAAAUAAAUAAACCUCUCUCAUCCCACCAUCCAUCAAACAAUUUUAAAUACAUCACAUGCACCCCAAUAUUCAUCUUCAUCAUUUUCUCCAUACAUUUUUUACACCUAUCCCAUACCUUUCUACAACUAUAUAAGACAUGCCUUGCUUCGUUUGGAAACCAAGGAAUUACACCCAAAAAAAAAACCAACCGUUUUUCACACCCUACAAUCAAGUAUACCAAGAAAAUCUUACUCUGCCCAAGAAAGAUUUAUUCUUCCCAUAUAAAAGAAAGUCAAUAAUGUUGCAUUGACCGUGGCAAAUCCCGGGAGAGAGAAAGUUAACCUGCCCCCUUUUAACUCCUGGUGGGUCCCUCAAGGCUCUCUUUCCCUGGAUUUUCCACGGUCAACGUAGCACUACUCAAGGGAAGUUCAUUUUCUCCCCAUGCAAACAAAAAAAUUCUAAUUUUCACACCCACAUCUUUCAACCAAGCAGAAUUAUUAUCUUCAAAAUAGAAAAUACUUCUUCUUACAUAUUCCAAGUCUACAAUCUCAUUCCACUUAAGAAUAUAUUCAUGUAUUUUGCUAUUUAAUCAAAGAACAAUUUCAAUUUCCUCCUAAA
This is a long non-coding RNA of Papaver somniferum (opium poppy), 3485 nucleotides long. RefSeq lists it as uncharacterized. The record is from RefSeq and is a predicted model, not a curated record. The transcript has 7 exons. NCBI's taxonomy places the organism in Eukaryota, Viridiplantae, Streptophyta, Magnoliopsida, Ranunculales, Papaveraceae.